ACCUUCGUGAUGUAUUUGGAAAGCAUAUCCGAUUGGCAAUCGGAAGGUACAGGCUCGAAUCCCGGAAAGGGUA
RNAcentral lists this transfer RNA (73 nucleotides) under Stegodyphus mimosarum. It matches the Rfam family "tRNA". Rfam says of the family: Transfer RNA (tRNA) molecules are approximately 80 nucleotides in length. Their secondary structure includes four short double-helical elements and three loops (D, anti-codon, and T loops). Further hydrogen bonds mediate the characteristic L-shaped molecular structure. tRNAs have two regions of fundamental functional importance: the anti-codon, which is responsible for specific mRNA codon recognition, and the 3' end, to which the tRNAs corresponding amino acid is attached (by aminoacyl-tRNA synthetases). tRNAs cope with the degeneracy of the genetic code in two manners: having more than one tRNA (with a specific anti-codon) for a particular amino acid; and 'wobble' base-pairing, i.e. permitting non-standard base-pairing at the 3rd anti-codon position. Lineage: Eukaryota; Metazoa; Arthropoda; Arachnida; Araneae; Eresidae. The record is from Rfam by way of RNAcentral.